AUUGAACGCUGGCGGCAUGCCUUACACAUGCAAGUCGAACGGUAACAGGUUAAGCUGACGAGUGGCGAACGGGUGAGUAAUGUAUCGGAACGUGCCCAGUCGUGGGGGAUAACUGCUCGAAAGAGCAGCUAAUACCGCAUACGACCUGAGGGUGAAAGCGGGGGAUCGCAAGCCCUCGCGCGAUUGGAGCGGCCGAUAUCAGAUUAGGUAGUUGGUGAGGUAAAGGCUCACCAAGCCGACGACCUGUAGCUGGUCUGAGAGGACGACCAGCCACACUGGGACUGAGACACGGCCCAGACUCCUACGGGAGGCAGCAGUGGGGAAUUUUGGACAAUGGGCGCAAGCCUGAUCCAGCCAUGCCGCGUGCGGGAAGAAGGCCUUCGGGUUGUAAACCGCUUUUGUCAGGGAAGAAAAGGUUCUGGCUAAUACCUGGGACUCAUGACGGUACCUGAAGAAUAAGCACCGGCUAACUACGUG
Molecule: ribosomal RNA, 477 nt
Filed under: uncultured bacterium
Lineage: Bacteria
Description: partial 16S ribosomal RNA
Rfam family: Bacterial small subunit ribosomal RNA
Source: RNAcentral